Molecule: ribosomal RNA, 509 nt
Filed under: uncultured bacterium
Lineage: Bacteria
Description: partial 16S ribosomal RNA
Rfam family: Bacterial small subunit ribosomal RNA
Source: RNAcentral
GACGAACGCUGGCGGCGUGCUUAACACAUGCAAGUCGAACGGAAAGGCCCUGCUUUUGUGGGGUGCUCGAGUGGCGAACGGGUGAGUAACACGUGAGUAACCUGCCCUUGACUUUGGGAUAACUUCAGGAAACUGGGGCUAAUACCGGAUAGGAGCUCCUGCUGCAUGGUGGGGGUUGGAAAGUUUCGGCGGUUGGGGAUGGACUCGCGGCUUAUCAGCUUGUUGGUGGGGUAGUGGCUUACCAAGGCUUUGACGGGUAGCCGGCCUGAGAGGGUGACCGGCGCGAGGGGGACGGGGGUGCGGAGCGCGGAGCCGAGGGAGGCAGGGGGGGGGAAGGUGGAACGGGGGGGGGGAGCUGGAGGCGGCGGCGCCGCGUGGGGGUGGACGGCCUGGGGGUUGUUAUCCGCUGGCGCCUGCGAGGAGGCGGGGGUGACGGAAAUGGUAAAAGAAGGACCGGCUAACUCCGUGCAAGCAGCCGCGGUAAGAGGCGGAGUAGCACACGUCUGAAC